RNAcentral lists this small RNA (681 nucleotides) under Pongo abelii (Sumatran orangutan). RNAcentral's name for it is "processed transcript". The record is from RNAcentral. Lineage: Eukaryota; Metazoa; Chordata; Mammalia; Primates; Hominidae.
CCUCCAUGCGGAGCCAAGAUGGGGAAUGGAACUGAGGAAGAUUAUAACUUUGUCUUCAAGGGUACUAUCGUGGUGCAGUGGGGGCCCUCCUGGUGUUUGACCUAACCAAGCACCAGACCUAUGCUGUGGUGGAGCGAUGGCUGAAGGAGCUCUAUGACCAUGCUGAAGCCACGAUUGUCGUCAUGCUCGUGGGUAACAAAAGUGACCUCAGCCAGGCCCGGGAAGUGCCCACUGAGGAGGCCCGAAUGUUCGCUGAAAACAAUGGACUGCUCUUCCUGGAGACCUCAGCCCUGGACUCUACCAAUGUUGAGCUAGCCUUUGAGACUGUCCUGAAAGAAAUCUUUGCAAAGGUGUCCAAGCAGAGACAGAACAGCAUCCGGACCAAUGCCAUCACUCUGGGCAGUGCCCAGCCUGGGCAGGAGCCCGGCCCUGGGGAGAAGAGGGCCUGUUGCAUCAGCCUCUGACUUUGGCCAGCACCACCUGCCCCCACUGGCUUUUUGGUGCCCCUUGUCCCCACUUCAGCCCCAGGAUCUUUCCUUGCCCUUUGGUUCCAGAUAUCAGACUGUUCCCUGUUCACAGCACCCUCAGGGUCUUAAGGUCUUCAUGCCCUAUCACAAAUACCUCUUUUAUCAGUCCACCCCUCACAGACUAGGACCCUCAAAUAAAGCUGUUUUAUAUCAA